This is a long non-coding RNA of Labrus mixtus (cuckoo wrasse), 158 nucleotides long. RefSeq lists it as uncharacterized. NCBI's taxonomy places the organism in Eukaryota, Metazoa, Chordata, Actinopteri, Labriformes, Labridae. The transcript has 2 exons. The record is from RefSeq and is a predicted model, not a curated record.
UUUAUUUUUACACCAACAGCUCACUCCAUUAAAGAUUAAAUGUGAUCUUAUUUUUGAAAAGUAUCAGAGCUUAUUAGAGAAGUUUCACAUUAUCAGUGUCUCAGUUUCCGACACAAACUAAAGUUCCUGGAACAAUUGUUAAACCACAUUCAAAGGUU